AAGUCGUAACAAGGUUUCCGUAGCUGAAUUUGCGGAAGGAUCAUUAACACGUAUCCAACGUUAAACUCCCUGUGAACCUUCAUUGUGCUCCCACGCUUUGUUAGAAAGUGGCAAUCCCUGCGCCGAACAGUUUUGUCUGCGAAGAGGGUGAAUGAGGCGAGGCAAUGGACCUGGCAUUCCUCUGCUUGUUGGUGUCUGAAAGUGUCACUAACUCUGUACGAAUGGCGCAGUCACGUUCGCUGGAGGCCGACACGGCCGGCGGCUGAGCUCUGCUCCCGAAAAAACCUUUGCAUGAAAACGGGCCUGCGCUUAAUUGUGCGGCCAAACUC
RNAcentral lists this unclassified non-coding RNA (329 nucleotides) under fungal sp. RNAcentral's name for it is "partial internal transcribed spacer region". The record is from RNAcentral. Lineage: Eukaryota; Fungi.